RNAcentral lists this ribosomal RNA (445 nucleotides) under uncultured bacterium. RNAcentral's name for it is "bacterial SSU rRNA". It matches the Rfam family "Bacterial small subunit ribosomal RNA", at positions 355 to 793 of the family's 1533-position model. The record is from RNAcentral.
UGGGGAAUAUUGCACAAUGGGCGCAAGCCUGAUGCAGCCAUGCCGCGUGUAUGAAGAAGGCCUUCGGGUUGUAAAGUACUUUCAGCAGUGAGGAAGGUGGGUAUGUUAAUAGCAUAUUCAUUUGACGUUAGCUGCAGAAGAAGCACCGGCUAACUCCGUGCCAGCAGCCGCGGUAAUACGGAGGGUGCGAGCGUUAAUCGGAAUUACUGGGCGUAAAGCGCAUGCAGGUGGUUUGUUAAGUCAGAUGUGAAAGCCCGGGGCUCAACCUCGGAAUUGCAUUUGAAACUGGCAAACUAGAGUACUGUAGAGGGGGUAGAAUUUCAGGUGUAGCGGUGAAAUGCGUAGAGAUCUGAAGGAAUACCGGUGGCGAAGGCGGCCCCCUGGACAGAUACUGACACUCAGAUGCGAAAGCGUGGGGAGCAAACAGGAUUAGAUACCCCGGUAG